UAGUAUCAGCGUGUCAGCCGCCGCGGUAAUACGGAGGAUCCAAGCGUUAUCCGGAAUCAUUGGGUUUAAAGGGUCCGUAGGCGGUUUUAUAAGUCAGUGGUGAAAUCCGGCAGCUCAACUGUCGCACUGCCAUUGAUACUGUAGAACUUGAAUUAUUGUGAAGUAACUAGAAUAUGUAGUGUAGCGGUGAAAUGCUUAGAUAUUACAUGGAAUACCCAUUGCGAAGGCAGGUUACUAACAAUAUAUUGACGCUGAUGGACGAAAGCGUGGGGAGCGAACAGGAUUAGAUACCCUGGUAGUCCACGCCGUAAACGAUGGAUACUAGCUGUUUGGAAGCAAUUCUGAGUGGCUAAGCGAAAGUGAUAAGUAUCCCACCUGGGGAGUACGAACGCAAGUUUGAAACUUAAAUGAAUUGACGGG
This 420-nucleotide ribosomal RNA is filed under the name uncultured bacterium. RNAcentral describes it as "bacterial SSU rRNA". It matches the Rfam family "Bacterial small subunit ribosomal RNA", at positions 495 to 917 of the family's 1533-position model. The record is from RNAcentral.